GUGCCCACAAUCACAGCUGCCAGUGACUGAACUCCACUCUCCAUAUGGCAGUCAGGGCACAGAAUACAUUGAAAACUUUUGCCAGCCAUGUGCAACAGUUUCGGCUUGUCUGAUAAAUUAAACAACAGCCGGGGCCAGCAGACGAGUCGCGACUCGUGAAUCCAUGACCGGUGCCGGUGCCGGCGCUGGUAGUUCAACUUUUGGCUGGCCAUAAACCACGCGAAUUGGCUACCACUUUGCCUGCUGUCAGCCCACAUACGCACCUGCAGCCUGCAACCUGCAACCUGCAACUGCAACUGAAUCUGAGUCUGGUUCAUGCCAUAUUUAAGCGUGGUCAUGCCUGCCGCUGCCAUCCAUAGAUAAAUUGUUGGGCGCAUUUAAUAUGAAAAGUUAUGGUUGAGGCAAUUAAAAUCAGGUGCCCCGCAAAGGAACUUUAAGGGCCCAAGCCAAAGCCCAUAGAUUUGGGAUUUUAAUUGUUAAUCUGGCACACAACUUGAAGUGAUCGAAAAGGCUUUUAAAUUGAUUAAUUUUUAGCUAAAUUAUGGCUGUAUUUUGUGGAAUUUGCUGCUCGUGUUUGUUUGCUUUGCCUGUGCUCAUAAUUAUGUUGGCAUUCAUAACGAAUAACUAUAUAAGCGACAGCCCCAAACACACUCACACACAUGCUCCACGACAGAGGCGCGUGCUCACAAAUUUCGUAAUCCUUUAACAAGCCCCUGCAGCUUCCGCCUUUUGGCUCUUUCGCACGACUCCACACACAUCCUGCCCCUGUUGAUGCUGUUGAUGCUGCUGCUGUCAUUGUCUUGGGCCUCAUCAUCGCAUAAUUAAUCUUCAAAAAAUCAUCAGCCGUCGCAGGCAUUAAUCUUUCUUAAAACGUUUCACGCAACUUUUAGUCCAUUGUUACACAUACGACGUGUGUGUGCCGCAUACAAAACGAGAGCCAGCAUCCCCUCAGUUUUCUCAUCUCAUAAUUGUGUGCAGCCCUCGUCCUGCUGCUGGAUGUUGCUUCAGUCCAUGUUUUGUUGUUUUUGCUGUUGCUGUUGCUGAAGUAAUUU
Molecule: long non-coding RNA, 1052 nt
Filed under: Drosophila guanche
Lineage: Eukaryota; Metazoa; Arthropoda; Insecta; Diptera; Drosophilidae
Source: RNAcentral